GACGAACCGUGCGAACGUUAUUCGGAAUCACUGGGCUUAAAGCGCGUGUAGGCGGGCCGGCACGUCGGUCGCUGAAAUCCCCCGGCUCAACCGGGGAAGCGGCGCCGAUACGACCGGCCUGGAGGGGCGUAGGGGGAUCGGGAACUUCCGGUGGAGCGGUGAAAUGCGUUGAUAUCGGAAGGAACGCCGGUGGCGAAAGCGAGCUGCUGGACCUCUGCUGACGCUGAGGCGCGAAAGCCAGGGGAGCAAACGGG
RNAcentral lists this ribosomal RNA (254 nucleotides) under uncultured bacterium. RNAcentral describes it as "partial 16S ribosomal RNA". It matches the Rfam family "Bacterial small subunit ribosomal RNA", at positions 524 to 776 of the family's 1533-position model. The record is from RNAcentral.